This 484-nucleotide ribosomal RNA is filed under the name uncultured bacterium. RNAcentral's name for it is "partial 16S ribosomal RNA". It matches the Rfam family "Bacterial small subunit ribosomal RNA", at positions 30 to 507 of the family's 1533-position model. The record is from RNAcentral.
AUUGAACGCUGGCGGCAGGCCUAACACAUGCGAGUCGAGCGGAUGAAGGGUGCUUGCUCCUGGAUUCAGCGUCGGACGGGUGAGUAAUGCCUAUGAAUCUGCCUGGUAUUGGUUUAUAACAUCCUGAAACGGGCGCUAAUACCGCAUACUUCCUGAGGGAGAAAGUGGGGGAUCUUCGGACCUCACGCUAUCAGAUGAGCCUAGGUCGGAUUAGCUAGUUGGUGGGGUAAAGGCCUACCAAGGCGACGAUCCGUAACUGGUCUGAGAGGAUGGUCAGUCACACUGGAAGUGAAACACGGUCCAGACUCCUACGGGAGGCAGCAGUGGGGAAUAUUGGACAAUGGGCGAAAGCCUGAUCCAGCCAUGCCGCGUGUGUGACGAAGGUCUUCGGAUUGUAAAGACCUUUAAGUUGGGAGGAAGGGCAGUAAGUUAAUACCUUGCUGUUUUGACGGUACCAACAGAAUAAGCACCGGCUAACUUCGUG